UUUGGUCCUUAGAAUCCCUGGGCUAGAUGCUCAUGAUGGGCCCUUCUGACCUUAACGUCUGUGAGUGGAACAGGGGUCGGACACAGAGAUGCUGUAGAUCGGAAUCUGGGGGUGACAUGGACUGAAGCCCCUUCUGUAACCUCCCCCAUCGCCCCGACAGGCUGAGGAAUCACGUUCACAUGUCGCUCCAGAUCGUCCCGUCUUCCAGGAGACAGGGAAGGGAAAUGUCUGUGAUGGAGCCAGCUCAGAUGCCGGUGACCUUCGAGGAGGUGGCUGUGUAUUUCACCCAGGGACAGGGGGCUCUGCUG
This is a non-coding RNA of Chrysemys picta bellii (western painted turtle), 308 nucleotides long. The record is from RefSeq and is a predicted model, not a curated record. Lineage: Eukaryota; Metazoa; Chordata; Testudines; Emydidae.